Molecule: ribosomal RNA, 525 nt
Filed under: uncultured bacterium
Lineage: Bacteria
Description: bacterial SSU rRNA
Rfam family: Bacterial small subunit ribosomal RNA
Source: RNAcentral
ACAUCCAGAGAACUUAGCAGAGAUGCUUUGGUGCCUUCGGGAACUCUGAGACAGGUGCUGCAUGGCUGUCGUCAGCUCGUGUUGUGAAAUGUUGGGUUAAGUCCCGNAACGAGCGCAACCCUUAUCCUUUGUUGCCAGCGAUUCGGUCGGGAACUCAAAGGAGACUGCCGGUGAUAAACCGGAGGAAGGUGGGGAUGACGUCAAGUCAUCAUGGCCCUUACGGCCAGGGCUACACACGUGCUACAAUGGCGCAUACAAAGAGAAGCGACCUCGCGAGAGCAAGCGGACCUCAUAAAGUGCGUCGUAGUCCGGAUUGGAGUCUGCAACUCGACUCCAUGAAGUCGGAAUCGCUAGUAAUCGUAGAUCAGAAUGCUACGGUGAAUACGUUCCCGGGCCUUGUACACACCGCCCGUCACACCAUGGGAGUGGGUUGCAAAAGAAGUAGGUAGCUUAACCUUCGGGAGGGCGCUUACCACUUUGUGAUUCAUGACUGGGGUGAAGUCGUAACAAGGUAGGCGUACUACA